RNAcentral lists this transfer RNA (73 nucleotides) under Tritonibacter multivorans. RNAcentral describes it as "Tropicibacter sp. CECT 7557 tRNA". It matches the Rfam family "tRNA". Rfam says of the family: Transfer RNA (tRNA) molecules are approximately 80 nucleotides in length. Their secondary structure includes four short double-helical elements and three loops (D, anti-codon, and T loops). Lineage: Bacteria; Pseudomonadati; Pseudomonadota; Alphaproteobacteria; Rhodobacterales; Paracoccaceae. The record is from Rfam by way of RNAcentral.
UGUCAGGAGGUUAUGAAUUUGAACACUCAGGCUCAUAACCUGAAGGUCGUAGGUUCAAAUCCUACUCCCGCAA